GUCCUUUAGAUGUUAAUUUAAGGUCUAACCUGCCCACUGAAUUAUUUUAAAUGGCCGCAGUAAUUUGACUGUGCAAAGGUAGCAUAAUCAUUAGUUUUUUAAUUGAAAGCUUGUAUGAAAGGUUGGACGAAGUAAAAUCUGUCUCUAAUUAAAUUAAUUUAGAAUUUAACUUUUAAGUUAAAAGGCUUAAAUUUAACUAAAAGACGAGAAGACCCUAUAGAUCUUUAUAUUUAAAUUAAUAAAUUUAAUUAAGAAUUUUUAAAAUUUUAUUAAUUUAAUUAUUUUAUUGGGGUAAUAUAAAGAUUAAAAUAAUUCUUUUUUUUUAUUAACAUUAAUUUAUGAUUUUAAUGAUCCAAUUAUAUUGAUUUUAAGAUUAAGUUACCUUAGGGAUAACAGCGUAAUUUUUUUAGAGAGUUCUUAUCGAUAAGAAAGUUUGCGACCUCGAUGUUGGAUUAAAGAUUAUUUUAGGUGUAGAAGCUUAAAAAUUUUGGUCUGUUCGACCAUUAAAUCUUUACAUGAUCUGAGUUCAGACCGGUGUAAGCCAGGUCGGUUUCUAUCUUUAGUAAAUUAAAAUAUUUUAGUACGAAAGGACCAAUUAUUUAAUAUAAAUAUUUAAAUUUUGAUUAUUAUUAA
This 633-nucleotide ribosomal RNA is filed under the name Nebria suturalis. Its description in RNAcentral is "partial large subunit ribosomal RNA". It matches the Rfam family "Bacterial large subunit ribosomal RNA", at positions 1830 to 2736 of the family's 2925-position model. Lineage: Eukaryota; Metazoa; Arthropoda; Insecta; Coleoptera; Carabidae. The record is from RNAcentral.